Molecule: long non-coding RNA, 1432 nt
Filed under: Strigops habroptila (Kakapo)
Lineage: Eukaryota; Metazoa; Chordata; Aves; Psittaciformes; Psittacidae
Description: lncRNA (ENSSHBG00005008672.1)
Source: RNAcentral
UUUAAGCAAAAGUACUUUUAUUAGUAGUAAAGGGAAAUGUGAUACCUAAGAACUGUCAGAUGAGAAAGUUCGAUACAAAACGAUUUUUAAAAGUUAAAUCAGAAGCUGCCUGUAAGAAACUAAAAAAUGAUUUCACAAUUUCGAAUGCCUCUGGCAACAAAAUGGUGAUGAAAUUUGAUAAAGCAGAGAGAAACACACAAGGAGAAAAUAAGUCUAUACAUACAGAGGCAGGGACUAAAACUUACCUAUUGCUUGAGAAGAAAAAAAAUAAUGAAUUAAUAUUAGACUGCUCUCUGAAGACAUCAAAUCAAGCACUCAAUAUCAAUUAAAAUUGUGAAACAAAAUAUUUGGAUGAUUAAGAAAGAAACUGUAAACAAAAUAGAAAACAUAUAUAUAUCACUGUAUAAAUACACUGUAUCGCUAUCUCACUGUAUAAAUACAUCAUACACUCUUAUGUUGAAUAAUUCAUGCAGCCCUGGUCAUUGUAUUUCAGAAGAAAGAAGGGCAAGACAAAGACAGACAGGAGGAAGUAAAUUCACAGGAUCUAGGACAAAUUAAGACUAUUAAACAUAGCACACCCCUCUGAUAAGGAAAUAUUUGAACUGUACAUAUUGGAUACAAAACCCUGAAGAUGUCUGGAAGUCAACAGCUGAAGGUGUUCCUAAUUUGUAGGGGACAGUGGGAGCCUUAUAACCACAGGAAUGUACCCCUACCAAGGCAGGACACCUGCCAGGUACAAAGGGUUACAUGGACUUAUGGUUUGAGUCAGUGCAGGUAUUCUUACUUUAUGCACAACCAAGUGUUGUCCUGAAAAAGCUAAUAGAUAACAAUAGGAAAGAAUUGGAAUGGAAUGAAAAGUAUAGACAAGGUUAAAAUAAAAUAAAAUUAUAGGCAAAGUAACCAUGCUGUCCUUUACUCUCAGGAUACAUUAUAAUAAUCCUCUAUUCCCCCCACCCUUUUUCCUUUAACACCAUGUGUCUGCUGAGGUAGAUGGUAUUAAAUCCCUUCCCAAAUCAUUCAUUUAGUUCAGUGUCUGAACUCAAAAGGUAGGUCAAAUUGCAGUUUUCAGAAGUUAUACUACCUUUCCCAAUUGAAAUUAUCUAUUUUUUUGGUAGCAGAGGGUGGGGAAGAUGCCACACAGUGGAAUCCUCUCUCAGGGCCAAAACAUAGGUACGCAUAUCACACAUAGGUACACACAAAACAUAGGUACAGAUAUCUUCCAUAUCUGCUAUCAUGCCAGAAGCAUGGGCAAAAUUAUGCAAAAUCUGGAGCUUGGCCAAAUUUAAUUAGUAGAAAUAUUAAUUAAGUUUUGAUAUUGCUUUAUGCUGGGUCUAUUAUUGAAAAAAAGUUGCAUGCAACUGAGCUAAUGGGGUUCUUUCAAAUAUAUAAAAAUGAUAAGUAAAAAAUUCUGUAUUAUGGGGAGAUACUAUGA